This 413-nucleotide ribosomal RNA is filed under the name Variovorax sp. SR3-3a. Its description in RNAcentral is "bacterial SSU rRNA". It matches the Rfam family "Bacterial small subunit ribosomal RNA", at positions 1097 to 1512 of the family's 1533-position model. The record is from RNAcentral. Lineage: Bacteria; Pseudomonadati; Pseudomonadota; Betaproteobacteria; Burkholderiales; Comamonadaceae.
CGCAACCCUUGUCAUUAGUUGCUACAUUUAGUUGGGCACUCUAAUGAGACUGCCGGUGACAAACCGGAGGAAGGUGGGGAUGACGUCAAGUCCUCAUGGCCCUUAUAGGUGGGGCUACACACGUCAUACAAUGGCUGGUACAAAGGGUUGCCAACCCGCGAGGGGGAGCUAAUCCCAUAAAACCAGUCGUAGUCCGGAUCGCAGUCUGCAACUCGACUGCGUGAAGUCGGAAUCGCUAGUAAUCGUGGAUCAGAAUGUCACGGUGAAUACGUUCCCGGGUCUUGUACACACCGCCCGUCACACCAUGGGAGCGGGUUCUGCCAGAAGUAGUUAGCUUAACCGCAAGGAGGGCGAUUACCACGGCAGGGUUCGUGACUGGGGUGAAGUCGUAACAAGGUAGCCGUAUCGGAAGG